CAUGCUUUUCUCCAUUGUGUAUUUGUGGUUAUAUGUGCAUAUUACUAUAUGCACCCCCCCCACACACACAUAUACAC
Molecule: microRNA precursor, 77 nt
Filed under: Mus caroli (Ryukyu mouse)
Lineage: Eukaryota; Metazoa; Chordata; Mammalia; Rodentia; Muridae
Description: miRNA (MGP_CAROLIEiJ_G0006924.1)
Source: RNAcentral